GUGGGGAAUCUUGCGCAAUGGGGGAAACCCUGACGCAGCAACGCCGCGUGGGUGAUGAAGGCCUUCGGGUCGUAAAGCCCUGUCAGGUGGGAAGAAACCCAUCGGUGCAAACAGCACCGAUGAUUGACGGUACCACCGGAGGAAGCACCGGCUAACUCCGUGCCAGCAGCCGCGGUAAUACGGAGGGUGCAAGCGUUGUUCGGAAUUACUGGGCGUAAAGCGCGUGUAGGCGGUCGGGUAAGUCAGAUGUGAAAGCCCCCGGCUUAACUGGGGAACUGCAUUUGAAACUGCCUGGCUGGAGUUCGGGAGAGGAGAGUGGAAUUCCUGGUGUAGAGGUGAAAUUCGUAGAUAUCAGGAGGAACACCGGUGGCGAAGGCGGCUCUCUGGCCCGACACUGACGCUGAGACGCGAAAGCGUGGGGAGCAAACAGGAUUAGAUACCCUUGUAGUCC
This 451-nucleotide ribosomal RNA is filed under the name uncultured bacterium. RNAcentral's name for it is "bacterial SSU rRNA". It matches the Rfam family "Bacterial small subunit ribosomal RNA", at positions 354 to 796 of the family's 1533-position model. The record is from RNAcentral.